RNAcentral lists this ribosomal RNA (278 nucleotides) under uncultured prokaryote. RNAcentral's name for it is "partial 16S ribosomal RNA". It matches the Rfam family "Bacterial small subunit ribosomal RNA", at positions 524 to 801 of the family's 1533-position model. The record is from RNAcentral.
GACGAACCGUCCAAACGUUAUUCGGAAUUACUGGGCUUAAAGGGUGCGUAGGCGGCUUCGCAAGUUGGGUGUGAAAUCCCUCGGCUCAACCGAGGAAUGGCGCCCAAAACUGCGGAGCUCGAGGGAGACAGAGGUGAGUGGAACUUGUGGUGGAGCGGUGAAAUGCGUUGAUAUCACAAGGAACACCGGUGGCGAAAGCGGCUCACUGGGUCUCUUCUGACGCUGAGGCACGAAAGCGUGGGGAGCAAACAGGAUUAGAUACCCCCGUAGUCCCUGAG